This is a long non-coding RNA of Malus domestica (apple), 480 nucleotides long. RefSeq lists it as uncharacterized. Lineage: Eukaryota; Viridiplantae; Streptophyta; Magnoliopsida; Rosales; Rosaceae. The record is from RefSeq and is a predicted model, not a curated record.
UAUUUCACAAGAUUAAUAAAAUAUACACACACAAAAAAAGGGCAUAACAAUGUAGCCGCAAUAUGAAUAGUGCAGUGCAAGUUCUAUAUAAAGGUUAAAGAAACCGCGGGUUUAGAACACGGGUACAAAUUCAGAGUUGCAUUCUUCUUCCCCAACAUCAGAAGAAAAAGCUUCCUCAACUCCAUAUUUCGGCGCCUCUGAUUUGUUGUGCUGCAACGCCCUUUGCUUGGAACUGCCCGUGUUUGCGAUGCCUGAUGUCUUGGUUUAUUUGCUUGCCUUGGAAACUUUUUAUCUCUAGUGCUGGUGUAUUUUCUCAAGUAGUAAGCCAGACCGUUGUAAGCUCAAGCUUUAGAAAAUCCUGGAUGGGAACACAUGUGUGGAUGAAUCUAGUUACAAAUUUAAAUUGGUUGUGCAGCUUGACUUCAUGCAACUGUUUGAGUUUCUAAUAAAUGCUUUUGCAAUGGUUUAUUUGUUUGUCAA